RNAcentral lists this long non-coding RNA (251 nucleotides) under Nicotiana benthamiana. Its description in RNAcentral is "long non-coding RNA (NBEN_LNC005903)". The record is from RNAcentral. Lineage: Eukaryota; Viridiplantae; Streptophyta; Magnoliopsida; Solanales; Solanaceae.
GAGAAUGAGUACUAUAAGGGGGUUAUAUAGUAUAAAAGUGGAGACUUUUGGGCAAUGCUUUUCCGUGAUAAGCUUCAACGAGUUCUCGUGGGAAAUGAUCAAAUUGGGUUCGUGAAAGCUUUAAUGGAGACAGCAUCAAAUUUGUAAAAGUAGAAGUUUUGAUAUAAGGAGAAAAUGAGUGGCUUCUGAAAAAAGCAACAGCAAGCAAAUGGAAACAAAAAGAUUAUUUUUUAUAUUUUGAGUGAAUCUUG